CUGCGCCGAAAAUGUACCGGGGCUAAACAUAUUACCGAAGCUGUGGAUUGUCCUUUGGACAAUGGUAGGAGAGCGUUCUAAGGGCGUUGAAGCAUGAUCGUAAGGACAUGUGGAGCGCUUAGAAGUGAGAAUGCCGGUGUGAGUAGCGAAAGACGGGGGAGAAUCCCGUCCACCGAUUGACUAAGGUUUCCAGAGGAAGGCUCGUCCGCUCUGGGUUAGUCGGGUCCUAAGCUGAGGCCGACAGGCGUAGGCGAUGGAUAACAGGUUGAUAUUCCUGUACCACCUAUAAUCGUUUUAAUCGAUGGGGGGACGCAGUAGGAUAGGCGAAGCGUGCGAUUGGAUUGCACGUCUAAGCAGUAAGGCUGAGUAUUAGGCAAAUCCGGUACUCGUUAAGGCUGAGCUGUGAUGGGGAGAAGACAUUGUGUCUUCGAGUCGUUGAUUUCACACUGCCGAGAAAAGCCUCUAGAUAGAAAAUAGGUGCCCGUACCGCAAACCGACACAGGUAGUCAAGAUGAGAAUUCUAAGGUGAGCGAGCGAACUCUCGUUAAGGAACUCGGCAAAAUGACCCCGUAACUUCGGGAGAAGGGGUGCUCUUUAGGGUUAACGCCCAGAAGAGCCGCAGUGAAUAGGCCCAAGCGACUGUUUAUCAAAAACACAGGUCUCUGCUAAACCGUAAGGUGAUGUAUAGGGGCUGACGCCUGCCCGGUGCUGGAAGGUUAAGAGGAGUGGUUAGCUUCUGCGAAGCUACGAAUCGAAGCCCCAGUAAACGGCGGCCGUAACUAUAACGGUCCUAAGGUAGCGAAAUUCCUUGUCGGGUAAGUUCCGACCCGCACGAAAGGCGUAACGAUUUGGGCACUGUCUCAACGAGAGACUCGGUGAAAUCAUAGUACCUGUGAAGAUGCAGGUUACCCGCGACAGGACGGAAAGACCCCGUGGAGCUUUACUGUAGCCUGAUAUUGAAAUUCGGCACAGCUUGUACAGGAUAGGUAGGAGCCUUUGAAACGUGAGCGCUAGCUUACGUGGAGGCGCUGGUGGGAUACUACCCUAGCUGUGUUGGCUUUCUAACCCGCACCACUUAUCGUGGUGGGAGACAGUGUCAGGCGGGCAGUUUGACUGGGGCGGUCGCCUCCUAAAAGGUAACGGAGGCGCUCAAAGGUUCCCUCAGAAUGGUUGGAAAUCAUUCAUAGAGUGUAAAGGCAUAAGGGAGCUUGACUGCGAGACCUACAAGUCGAGCAGGGUCGAAAGACGGACUUAGUGAUCCGGUGGUUCCGCAUGGAAGGGCCAUCGCUCAACGGAUAAAAGCUACCCCGGGGAUAACAGGCUUAUCUCCCCCAAGAGUUCACAUCGACGGGGAGGUUUGGCACCUCGAUGUCGGCUCAUCGCAUCCUGGGGCUGUAGUCGGUCCCAAGGGUUGGGCUGUUCGCCCAUUAAAGCGGUACGCGAGCUGGGUUCAGAACGUCGUGAGACAGUUCGGUCCCUAUCCGUCGUGGGCGUAGGAAAUUUGAGAGGAGCUGUCCUUAGUACGAGAGGACCGGGAUGGACAUACCUCUGGUGUACCAGUUGUCGUGCCAACGGCAUAGCUGGGUAGCUAUGUGUGGACGGGAUAAGUGCUGAAAGCAUCUAAGCAUGAAGCCCCCCUCAAGAUGAGAUUUCCCAACUUCGGUUAUAAGAUCCCUCAAAGAUGAUGAGGUUAAUAGGUUCGAGGUGGAAGCAUGGUGACAUGUGGAGCUGACGAAUACUAAUCGAUCGAAGACUUAAUCAA
Molecule: ribosomal RNA, 1762 nt
Filed under: Staphylococcus aureus
Lineage: Bacteria; Bacillati; Bacillota; Bacilli; Caryophanales; Staphylococcaceae
Description: 23S ribosomal RNA
Rfam family: Bacterial large subunit ribosomal RNA
Source: RNAcentral